This 499-nucleotide ribosomal RNA is filed under the name uncultured bacterium. Its description in RNAcentral is "bacterial SSU rRNA". It matches the Rfam family "Bacterial small subunit ribosomal RNA", at positions 21 to 507 of the family's 1533-position model. The record is from RNAcentral.
GGCUCAGGAUGAACGCUAGCUACAGGCUUAACACAUGCAAGUCGCGGGGUAACAUCUGGUAGAGCUUGCUCUUCCAGGAUGACGACCGGCGCACGGGUGAGUAACGCGUAUCCAACCUGGCCCAUACCACGGGAUAGCCCGUCGAAAGGCGGAUUAAUACCGUAUGCUGUCAUUAAGAUGCAUAUAUUGAUGACGAAAGGACUGGCGGUAUGGGAUGGGGAUGCGUCUGAUUAGCUUGUUGGCGGGGUAACGGCCCACCAAGGCGACGAUCAGUAGGGGUUCUGAGAGGAAGGUCCCCCACAUUGGAACUGAGACACGGUCCAAACUCCUACGGGAGGCAGCAGUGAGGAAUAUUGGUCAAUGGGCGCAGGCCUGAACCAGCCAAGUCGCGUGAGGGAAGACGAUCCUACGGAUUGUAAACCUCUUUUGUCGGGGAGUAACGUGCGGGACGCGUCCCGUAUUGAGAGUACCCGAAGAAAAAGCAUCGGCUAACUCCGUG